GAUGAACGCUGGCGGCAUGCCUAACACAUGCAAGUUGAACGAGCUUUUAUUUUUAGAAAUUUAAGUUAAGUAGCGGACGGGUGAGUAACAUGUAAGAACCUACCUUUAGGAGGAGGAUAACCACUGGAAAUGGUGGCUAAAACUCCAUAAGCUGUGGAGCAAAAAGUGAAAACUGCCUAGAGAUGGGCUUGCAUCUGAUUAGCUUGUGUGAAUUAAUGUUACCAGGCAAUGAUCAGCAGUGGUCUAAGAGGAUGAUC
This 257-nucleotide ribosomal RNA is filed under the name uncultured bacterium. RNAcentral's name for it is "partial 16S ribosomal RNA". It matches the Rfam family "Bacterial small subunit ribosomal RNA", at positions 28 to 305 of the family's 1533-position model. The record is from RNAcentral.